Molecule: long non-coding RNA, 869 nt
Organism: Mesocricetus auratus (golden hamster)
Lineage: Eukaryota; Metazoa; Chordata; Mammalia; Rodentia; Cricetidae
Exons: 4
Source: RefSeq, a predicted model, not a curated record
AUGGCUGAGGAGAUCAGAAAGCCCCACCUAGGAGUCAAGCACCCAGUGGAUCUAUUCUCUGUUCCUUCAGCCAAGCACCCACCCCUGUAGCCGGCUCCCGGGAUCCUUGCCAGGUUCCUGCCCUCCCUAGGUCCAGGAGCCUGCAGGGGAGACCUAGGUGGCACUGAGCUCCAGGACUUCGCCGGCUGCAUCCCUGCACGUGCACACAGGCAGCAAUUUUUAAGGCACAGAAUGGCCAGAGAUGGUUCUGUUAACUUGUCAAAGGGCAGAAAUGAGACAAAAGAAACAGGAGUUAUGAACAGAUCAGCCAUCAUCUGGUCAACUCUGCAUGUGAGGGUACUACACUGUCAGCAGCUGGCUGUCUUCUGCCAUCUCUCCAUCAAGCUAUCAUCUUCCCACUCCCAUGGCAGAACAAAUGAUUCAUGUAGUGAAUCCAAGAAUUACCCAUGAUGCUUCUACCCUAACUCUCCUAGCCUUCAUCUAACCAAUUAACAUAUCUGAAGGAAAUUUGACGUCUCUCACUUCUUACCAAGCUUUUAGUUCUAAUUUUCCCAAUGCCUAUGGCUCCUAUUUCACAUGCAACAGAUUCCAUACAAAUUCAGGGGAUUCAUAGAUGCAACCAUUGGGGGAGGAGCAUGCCAAUAGAUUCUAGAUUAACAACCCAGGUCAUUGGCUGCUAUAAAUGAGUGUUUAUAUCUGUUUAAUAGUUUUAGAUGUUAAGCUACUUAGGGACAGGGUUCCUCCUUGUAAUUAUCUCUGUAGGGCACCUGGCACGGAGCCUCAUAUAGUUAAUCCCUUAAUUAAGUCUUUUUGAAUAUCAUAUGGAGAAGAAAAUGAACCAUUCAUCCAAUAAAUAUUUAUUGAACACA